UUUCCUUUCACCAACCAAAAACCAAAACUUGAAGGAAUCGUUUUAUCGUCUUGUUAGCAAUUCUCUGUAAAGUCUUUUUUUUUCUUUGACUGAAGUUUAUCUGAACAAACACCACCAUGUGUGGGGGUGCUAUCAUCUCCGAUUUCAUAGCGCCGCCGGAGCGUUCGUCGCGACGCUUGACGCCCGACUUCUUGUGGCCUGAUCUGAAGAAAUCCGAGUUUAAGAAGGGUUACGGUAAAAGGUACUCAAAGCCGGUGAUCGAUUUGGAUGAUGAUUUCGAGACUGACUUCCAGGAAUUUAAGGACGAAGAAUCUGAUGUAGAUGACCAUGAUGUCAAGCCAUUUGCUUUCUCUGCUUCAAAGAAAUCAUCUUCUGAUGCCUCACAUGGUUCGUACUCCGGAAAUGCCGCCCAAUUCAACGGUCAAGAUGAGAAAUGCGCGAAAAGAAAGAGGAAGAGUCAGUAUCGCGGGAUUCGGCAGCGUCCAUGGGGUAAAUGGGCUGCUGAAAUCAGAGACCCGGGGAAAGGGGUUAGGGUCUGGUUAGGAACUUUCAAUACUGCCGAAGAAGCCGCAAGAGCUUACGAUGCUGAGGCUCGGAGAAUCCGUGGAAAGAAAGCUAAGGUGAACUUCCCUGACGAGACUCCUCGUGUCUCUCCGAAGCGCGCAGCUAAGACAAAUUCUCAGAAACCAGUCUCCAAGUCAAACUUGAACCCUGUCCAGCCAAAUCUGAACCAGAAUUUCAAUUGCAUGAACAACCCCGGGCAGGAAUACUUUGAUACCAUGAGCUUCGUAGAAGAGAAGCCGCUGAUGAAUCAAUUUGCAUACGUGCACCCGGUUCCUAUGUCUGUAGAUGCUGGAUUUAAACCGUUUAAUCCAUCUGACAAUACCCCAGUGUAUUUCAACUCCGAUCAGGGGAGUAACUCCAUCUAUUGUUCUGAUUAUAGCUGGGGAGAACAGGGUUCACAAACUCCCGAGAUAUCGUCCAUUCUCGAAGCUUCCAUAGAGAGUGAUGAGUUCCUGGAGGAUGCAAACCCUAAUAAGAAGAUGAAACCAAGUUCCGAUGAUGACAUUCCUACAGAAGAAAAUUCGCGAAAGAGUUUAUCCGAUGAGCUAUUGUCUUUGGGCAAUCAGAUGAAGUUCUUCCAAAUGCCGCCGUUCCUCGACGGGAACUGGGAUGCCUCGAUGGAUGCAUUACUCAACGGAAUUGAAACACAGGACGGCUCAAGCCCGAUGGAUCUCUGGAGCUUCGAUGACUUCCCAUCCAUGCUAGGGGCCGCUUUCUGAGCAAAAACUUCACCCAACUUGCUAGUUUUUGUAAAUAAAGCAACGUGAAUUUGGUCAUAAAUGUGUGAAGCCCAAAUAAAAGCCUUGUGUGCAGUGCUUUCUGAGAGAUCUUAGUUUUUGUUUGGAUGGAUGGAAAAUACGUCUGGUCAAUUUUAAAUUGAUGUAAUCGACUAAAUUCUUAAUCAUGGAAGAGGCCAGUUCCAUCUUAUAAAAUUUGGA
Hibiscus syriacus is the source of this 1502-nucleotide RNA transcript. It is a transcript of the gene named ethylene-responsive transcription factor RAP2-12-like, with no coding region annotated. Lineage: Eukaryota; Viridiplantae; Streptophyta; Magnoliopsida; Malvales; Malvaceae. The transcript has 4 exons. The record is from RefSeq and is a predicted model, not a curated record.